ACGGGUGAGUAAUAUAUCGGAACGUACCCAAGAGUGGGGGAUAACGUAGCGAAAGUUACGCUAAUACCGCAUACGAUCUAAGGAUGAAAGCAGGGGAUCGCAAGACCUUGUGCUCCUGGAGCGGCCGAUAUCUGAUUAGCUAGUUGGUGGGGUAAAGGCCCACCAAGGCAACGAUCAGUAGCUGGUCUGAGAGGACGACCAGCCACACUGGAACUGAGACACGGUCCAGACUCCUACGGGAGGCAGCAGUGGGGAAUUUUGGACAAUGGGGGCAACCCUGAUCCAGCAAUGCCGCGUGAGUGAAGAAGGCCUUCGGGUUGUAAAGCUCUUUUGUCAGGGAAGAAAAGGCUGUGGCUAAUAUCUACAGCUGCUGACGGUACCUGAAGAAUAAGCACCGGCUAACUACGUGCCAGCAGCCGCGGUAAUACGUAGGGUGCAAGCGUUAAUCGGAAUUACUGGGCGUAAAGCGUGCGCAGGCGGUUUCGUAAGUCUGUCGUGAAAUCCCCGGGCUUAACCUGGGAAUGGCGAUGGAGACUGCGAGGCUAGAGUUUGGCAGAGGGGGGUAGAAUUCCACGUGUAGCAGUGAA
Molecule: ribosomal RNA, 587 nt
Filed under: Duganella sp. StRD719
Lineage: Bacteria; Pseudomonadati; Pseudomonadota; Betaproteobacteria; Burkholderiales; Oxalobacteraceae
Description: bacterial SSU rRNA
Rfam family: Bacterial small subunit ribosomal RNA
Source: RNAcentral